GAGAGGAAAGCUGCCGCACCCCCAGUCCUCCAACAAUGCGGCCUCUUGCUGUUCUCUAAUUUCUCUCUUCUUCUGAAGCUUGAGCUCCAUAGGAACAAAGCAGGCUCUGAGCACUGUGUCUGAUAGAAGAACAGACUUUCAAUGCCAGAGCAGCAUUUACUGUUCUGGUAUAAUAAUUUUGAUUUCUAGAGAAUUAAUGUUAAGUAGGUUGAAAUAGCCAAAAAAUAGCCUCUGACAUAGCACAGGUAUUUCACUGUCCCAAACUGGGAUAGCAUACAGAAAGCUGGAGUUUUACUAUUGUUUUUUGGCAGGUGUUGCUGAGACCUGCUGAGCUCACUGUGAUGGGGACAACCGAUGCUCUCCUGACACUGGAAGAUGGCUGACAUGGGUUUUACCUGAUUCGUGUGUUUUAACCCUUCAGAUGCCUCCAGAAAUAACAGUCAGCCAUAACAGAUGGUUUUGCAGUGCACACAAAGAAACUUGGAGUAUAGUGCUUCUGUCUUCUCAUGUUCAGAAACAGAAAGCCACUCUGGGCUCAGGAAUUUGAGUCUUCUUUAAAUAAGCCUUGAACAUAAAUAUCCUGUGAUUUAAUAAAGGCUCUGCAGAAAAAUGUAA
Molecule: long non-coding RNA, 615 nt
Organism: Lagopus leucura (white-tailed ptarmigan)
Lineage: Eukaryota; Metazoa; Chordata; Aves; Galliformes; Phasianidae
Exons: 2
Source: RefSeq, a predicted model, not a curated record